AAUGAACGUUGGCGGCAUGGAUUAGGCAUGCAAGUCGAGCGAGAACCGUAGCAAUACGGGGACAGCGGCGAAAGGGAGAGUAAUGUGUGGAUAUCUACCUCCAGGCCUGGGACAACUACGGGAAACUGUAGCUAAUACCAGAUAAUGUCUGCGGACCAAAGGUGUGAUUCCUCCGGGAGAUGAGUCCACAUCCUAUUAGCUAGUUGGUAGGGUAAGGGCCUACCAAGGCAAUGAUGGGUAGCAGGUGUGAGAGCACGACCUGCCUCAUUGGGACUGAGACACUGCCCAGACACCUACGGGUGGCUGCAGUCGAGAAUCUUCGGCAAUGGGCGCAAGCCUGACCGAGCGAUGCCGCGUGCGGGAUGAAGGCCUUCGGGUUGUAAACCGCUGUCAGAGGGGAUGAAAUACGUCGGGGGUUCUCCCCCGGGUUUGACAUAUCCUCAGAGGAAGGACGGGCUAGUUCGUGCCAGCCGCCGCUGUAA
Molecule: ribosomal RNA, 482 nt
Filed under: uncultured bacterium
Lineage: Bacteria
Description: partial 16S ribosomal RNA
Rfam family: Bacterial small subunit ribosomal RNA
Source: RNAcentral